UACGUAGGGUGCGAGCGUUGUCCGGAAUUACUGGGCGUAAAGAGCUCGUAGGUGGUUUGUCGCGUUGUUCGUGAAAACUCACAACUCAAUUGUGGGCGUGCGGGCGAUACGGGCAGACUGGAGUACUGCAGGGGAGACUGGAAUUCCUGGUGUAGCGGUGGAAUGCGCAGAUAUCAGGAGGAACACCGGUGGCGAAGGCGGUUCUCUGGGCAUUACCUGACGCUGAGGAGCGAAAGCAUGGGGAGCGAACAGG
This 253-nucleotide ribosomal RNA is filed under the name uncultured bacterium. RNAcentral describes it as "partial 16S ribosomal RNA". It matches the Rfam family "Bacterial small subunit ribosomal RNA", at positions 524 to 776 of the family's 1533-position model. The record is from RNAcentral.